Molecule: ribosomal RNA, 459 nt
Filed under: uncultured bacterium
Lineage: Bacteria
Description: partial 16S ribosomal RNA
Rfam family: Bacterial small subunit ribosomal RNA
Source: RNAcentral
CCUACGGGCGGCAGCAGUGAGGCAUAUUGGUCAAUGGCCGGAAGGCUGAACCAGCCCAGCCGCGUGAAGGACGAAGGUGCCAAGCAUUGUAAACUUCUUUUGUCAAGGGACAAAAUCAGGCUCGAGAGCCUGACCGAGGGUACUUGAAGAAAAAGCAUCGGCUAACUCCGUGCCAGCAGCCGCGGUAAUCCGGAGGAUGCGAGCGUUAUCCGGCUUUAUUGGGUUUAAAGGGUGCGUAGGCGGACUGUUAAGUCAGCGGUAAAAGCCCGGGGCUAAACCCCGGAGAGCCGUUGAAACUGGCGGUCUUGAGAUGUCGAGAGGUAUGCGGAAGUCGCAGGGUAGCGGUGAAAUGCUUAGAUAUCGCGCAGAACUCCGAUUGCGAAGGCAGCAUACCGGCGGCGAUCUGACGCUGAGGCACGAAAGCGUGGGUAGCGAACAGGAUUAGAUACCCUUGUAGUC